GUCUACAGCCAUGCUACCCUGAACAAGCCCAAUUCUGUCUGAUCUCGGAAGCUAAGCAGGGUCAGGCCUGGUUAGUACUUGGAUGGGAGACCACCUAGGAAGACCAGGUGCUGUAGGCA
RNAcentral lists this ribosomal RNA (119 nucleotides) under Pteropus alecto (black flying fox). The record is from RNAcentral. Lineage: Eukaryota; Metazoa; Chordata; Mammalia; Chiroptera; Pteropodidae.